This 449-nucleotide ribosomal RNA is filed under the name uncultured bacterium. Its description in RNAcentral is "partial 16S ribosomal RNA". It matches the Rfam family "Bacterial small subunit ribosomal RNA", at positions 354 to 796 of the family's 1533-position model. The record is from RNAcentral.
GUCGAGAAUCUUUCACAAUGGGGGCAACCCUGAUGGAGCGACGCCGCGUGGAGGAUAAGGUCUUCGGAUUGUAAACUCCUGUCAUGCGUGAACAAGGUUGCUUGGUUAAUACCUGGGCAAAUUGAUGGUAACGCAAGAGGAAGAGACGGCUAACUCUGUGCCAGCAGCCGCGGUAAUACAGAGGUCUCAAGCGUUGUUCGGAAUCACUGGGCGUAAAGGGUGCGUAGGUGGCGUGGUAAGUCAGAUGUGAAAGCCCGGGGCUCAACCUCGGAACUGCAUCCGAUACUGCCAUGCUAGAGUACUGGAGAGGUGACUAGAAUUCUCGGUGUAUCAGUGAAAUGCGUAGAUAUCGAGAGGAAUACCAAAGGCGUAGGCAGGUCACUGGACAGUUACUGACACUGAGGCACGAAGGCCAGGGGAGCGAACGGGAUUAGAUACCCUUGUAGUCC